UACAUUUUCAAAGUUGAGAGUCUUGAUAUUGAAAUACACAGAAAGUGAGAUAAAACCUAAAACCGAUAAUCAUGUCCCUCAAUUAGGGUAAUGCUUAUGGGAUGGGGUGGAAUUGGAAGCUGAAAAGCAAGGAAGAAAAUAUGAUCAGCUGUCUCUGAAGGAAAAGAAGAAAGAGGAGGCAGAAUUUGAAAUCGCAGAAGAUGCUUCUGAUACUAUAGAAGAACAUAUCGAUGAUCAAGGGAUUUCCCUUGCGCCUUUAAACAUGGAAGACAUGAGACAUGCAAAGAAUAAGGUGACCGGAAGUUUUGCUGCACACGGAUCAAACAUGAAAAGGCCGGAGCAGUGGAAUGCUUUGUACGGAGAAAGAGGUUAAAGGAAGAAACAAGAACAACUCAAUUAAUUUAUUUAGAUUGCGGAAAACAAGUUUAAAUAUGUAAAUAUCAAUAUUCAUCCAAAGAAAGAAUCGAUCAUUAAGUAGAGUUAUUGAACCCAAAGAAAGUACGAGUAAAUUAUGGCAAACCUUUUAUGUAUUUCAUGUGCUAAUGACAUACUACCACUAUUUUUCAUUGUGCUUGUAUUUUAUGUACUAUGUAUGUAAUAGUAUUUGAUAGCAGAAA
Medicago truncatula (barrel medic) is the source of this 617-nucleotide long non-coding RNA. RefSeq lists it as uncharacterized. The record is from RefSeq and is a predicted model, not a curated record. NCBI's taxonomy places the organism in Eukaryota, Viridiplantae, Streptophyta, Magnoliopsida, Fabales, Fabaceae. The transcript has 3 exons.